This 2662-nucleotide long non-coding RNA is filed under the name Mytilus galloprovincialis (Mediterranean mussel). The record is from RNAcentral. Lineage: Eukaryota; Metazoa; Mollusca; Bivalvia; Mytilida; Mytilidae.
UUCCUCUUAAAUAAAAAUACAAUGAAGGAAGACAAAACUCACAAAUAUCAUCACCCCUAAGCACUUCCUAUUUUAUCAAUCUUUAUCCAUUAACCAUAUCAACUAUGAUCUUUGUGGACCAUAAUCACGUUAAUGGCAUAAAAUACAGUUUUGAUUCCUCAGUAUUUUUUUAGGAUAAAAAAAUUGCAUUUACAAGCUAUUUUCUCAUAGUGAAUUAAAUUAGGUUAUAAUUAUAUACCUUCAUGUGCUACUUUUAGAGAUAAAAGGUCCAAACUAUAUACAUUUACUCAAAAUUUUCAUUUCUAUGACUUUUAUAUCAAUUUGAAAGACAUACCAAACUUUUUUGUUUCAAAAGAAAAACACAAACAGUUUUUGGAUAAAUGUUCAUAAUUUUAGAAGAAGAAAAACAACAUUUUUAAACAAAAUUUGUAAGGGUUCUGCAGAACCUAGUAUCUCGCCUACUUUUGCUGUUAAUGGCAGGCUCAACAAAAAUGAGGAAAAAAUUCAACAAAAAUAUUCCUUUUACAUAUUUUAUUUUGAUUGAAAGAAGCUUCUGUCCAAGUUUGGUAAAAAUCCAGAAUAGUUUAUGCAUCUCAUAAAUGUUUAAAAAACUUCAACUGCAGACUGUAUGUGAUGUUAACUGAAGAAAAACUUAUUUCAUUUAUACGUAAAAUACAGAUAAACAGGUACAAAAUUUUAACAAAAUUUCCUUCUAGAUACUAGCUUUUGAUCAUAAACAUGCUUCUGUCCAAGUUUAGAACAAAUCCAGGAUAGUUUCAAAAAGUAAUUAAAAUUUCAAAAACUUUUAACUACAGAGUGAAUAUUUGUGGACGCCGCCUAAGCCAAGCGAAUGUAGGAUCGCUAUUUCAAUGCUCUUAAACUUUGUACUUGUUUGGCUUUAUAACUAUUUUGAUAUGAGCGUCACUGAUGAGUCAUAUGGAGACGAAACGCGCGUCUAGCGUAUUAAAUUGUAAUCCUGUUACAUUUGAUUAACUAUUGAAGUCAAAUUUGAAGCCUGUGGUGCAAUAUAUGAUUUAUAAGUUGACAAAUCAUUAUCAUUAUUUGAAGUGAAACUGUAUCUCAGAAUAAUAGUGCUCAAAAAUAAAUACUGCUAUUCAUACUUCAUAGAUUAAAACAAAAAAGACAAUGAAAGAAUAUCUCAUCAAUUGGCACUUGUUUACCUUAAAAGGUUAAUUUCUGUAAUACAUCUGGAGAAAUAAACUAAACUCAAAGGCAUUGAAAAUCUUUAUGCAUCAAUUUUUACAUUUAGCAGGAAAUUAUAUAAUUUCAAGGGGAAUGCAUUCAUAACAUUGUGUACAGGUAAUUCAUAUUUAAGAUAUUUAUAUAUAUAACGAGAUAUUCUCCUUUAAUAAAAACAUUUUAUUGACCUCCAGAAUUUACCACUAUCAAACUUUCUUUCAGACCAAGCAAGUUACUAUUACUGCCUUAAAAACUUUCACUACAAACUUUUUUAUUCAAUAUACUAGUAAUAUUAAUUAUCUAAAAAAAUUCUCAAUGAACAAAAAUUAAUUAAUUAAUUUUUUCCUCAAUUUUUACAUUUUGACAUUUUCCUGGUGUCUGCCAACUGCCCUAUCUACUAAUAACAUUAUCCGUUAUAUAUCUUGUACAUGUUUAACUAUAUCACUGCAAAACAGCUAUCAUAAUUGUAAUUAGGCUGAAAUGUGAGAAAGACCAAUGAGGGUGGUAAAGGGUUAUUUUGUGCAACGUGUUCAGCCUUUUUAUUUCAUAUUUUUUCAUGUUUUGACAUUUUAUUUCUUGUUUUCUUGUGCUUGGUUCUACGUGCUUGCCUCCUGUUCUCCUUUCUUUAUUUCUGUGUUUCGUGUCGGUACUCUUAAUUUCUUGUGCUUGUUCUGCAUUUGAUUAACCAGGACUAAAUUUAAAGUCAGUCUGGAGAUUGUUUUAAAUUAUGUGUUAUCAGAAUAUUUAAAAUUGCUAUUAAAUUAAUUAAAAUGAAAAAAAAUAUUUAUCUUUCAAAUCAGUUGCAACUAGCAGACGCUUAAAGGUGACUGCAGGGUCAUCAUAUCCAUUAUAUAAUGACUAGAUGAUCUCCAAGAAGGGCUGAUUAAUAGAUUAAUUUACUUUUUACAUUAAAAUUUCCAUUUUAUUUCUCAUGCUUCGUUUUUUCUGAUUUUUAUUUUCCAUGCAAUGUUUUUGCGAUUUUUAUUUCACGUGUUUCCAUGUUUAGGGCCCCCCUUUACCACCCUCACCAAUAGGGACAUAUCAUAUUUUGAAAUUCUCAUUUCCAUUUUGACAUUUCUUACUUCCAUUAUAACAUUUUUCAUUUACUAUAUUAACAUAAAGAUAAAUAGGUAACAAUAUAAUUUAAAUGCUUAGUUACAUAUCAAUGCCCUCAAUGUUGCAACACUAGAGUGUGGAUAGCAGUGUUCCCAUUGAUGAGCCAGGGCUGAAGACUGUACUUUGACCAAUAAUGGUUUACUUUUACAAAUAGUGACUUGGAUGGAGAGUUGUCUCAUUGGUACUUAUACCACAUCUUUUUAUAUCUAUUGAGGUAAACGAUUCAAAGCAAACUAUAUAAAAAUUGUUCCAAGGUACCGUGUAAAAAGCCAUCAUUACUUUUACUCUGAACUUGCUUUUAGUGACUAUAAACAUUGUUUGGUAGAAUUCAAUUUCAAAUUGUUUU